RNAcentral lists this unclassified non-coding RNA (1466 nucleotides) under uncultured fungus. Its description in RNAcentral is "sequence contains 18S rRNA gene, ITS1, 5.8S rRNA gene, ITS2, 28S rRNA gene". The stretch from base 526 to 1466 matches the Rfam family "Eukaryotic large subunit ribosomal RNA", at positions 1 to 961 of the family's 3401-position model. Lineage: Eukaryota; Fungi. The record is from RNAcentral.
GGAAGGAUCAUUACCGAGUUAGGGUCUAAUAUGGCCCAACCUCCAAACCUUUGAGUACCUAACAAAGCAUUGAUUUUUCCUUGUUGCUUCGGUGGGUUGAAAAUACCCACCGAAGCACAGGAGCAACAAACUCUUUUUGAAAGGUGCAGUCUGAAGUUUAGAUGCUGAAUAAAUUAAAACUUUCAACAACGGAUCUCUUGGUUCCCGCAUCGAUGAAGAACGCAGCGAAAUGCGAUAAGUAAUGUGAAUUGCAGAAUUCAGUGAAUCAUCGAAUCUUUGAACGCAUAUUGCGCCCCUUGGUAUUCCAAAGGGCAUGCCUGUUCGAGCGUCAUUAUAAAAUCUCAAGCCGCUAGGCUUGGUUUUGGGCUGUCAUGACUGCCUAGUCUAGGCUAGUUAUGUGCCUGAAAAUCAGUGGCAGUGCCUAAAUGACCUCAAGCAUAGUGGACACCUCUUGUGCUUUAGAGGCUUCAUUUGUUAGGAUUGCUUGCCCCCUCCUGCUUUAAUUAAAGCUACUUUAACAGUGUUUGACCUCGGAUCAGGUAGGGAUACCCGCUGAACUUAAGCAUAUCAAUAAGCGGAGGAAAAGAAACCAACAGGGAUUGCCUCAGUAACGGCGAGUGAAGCGGCAACAGCUCAAAUUUGAAAUCUGGUUUCCUUCUAGGGACCCGAGUUGUAAUUUGUAGAGGAAGCUUCUGAGCAGCUCCUAGCCUAAGUUCCUUGGAACAGGACGUCAUAGAGGGUGAGAAUCCCGUAUGUGGCUUGGAAGUUUGUUCAAUGUGAAGCCCCUUCGACGAGUCGAGUUGUUUGGGAAUGCAGCUCAAAAUGGGUGGUAAGUUUCAUCUAAAGCUAAAUAUUGGCGGGAGACCGAUAGCGCACAAGUAGAGUGAUCGAAAGAUGAAAAGCACUUUGGAAAGAGAGUUAAAAAGUACGUGAAAUUGUUGAAAGGGAAGCGCUUGCAACCAGACUUGCCCUCAGUUGAUCAACCUUCAUCGGUGUACUCUGCUGGGGUCAGGCCAGCAUCAGUUUGGGUGGUUGGAGAAAGGCCAUGGGAAUGUGGCUCUCUUCGGGGAGUGUUAUAGCCCACGGUGUCAUGCAACCAGCCUGGACUGAGGACCGCGCCUUGUGCUAGGAUGCUGGCAUAAUGGUUGUAAGCGACCCGUCUUGAAACACGGACCAAGGAGUCUAACAUCUAUGCAAGUGUUUGGGUGUUAAACCCAUGCGCGUAAUGAAAGUGAACGGAGGUGGGAACCCCUGAGGGUGCACCAUCGACCGAUCCUGAUGUCUUCGGAUGGAUUUGAGUAAGAGCAUAGCUGUUGGGACCCGAAAGAUGGUGAACUAUGCCUGAAUAGGGUGAAGCCAGAGGAAACUCUGGUGGAGGCUCGCAGCGGUUCUGACGUGCAAAUCGAUCGUCAAAUUUGGGUAUAGGGGCGAAAGACUAAUCGAACCAUCUAGUAGCUGGUUCCUGC